Molecule: long non-coding RNA, 6104 nt
Filed under: Medicago truncatula (barrel medic)
Lineage: Eukaryota; Viridiplantae; Streptophyta; Magnoliopsida; Fabales; Fabaceae
Description: long non-coding RNA (MTRU_LNC003938)
Source: RNAcentral
AAAUCAAAGUCCAAGGAAAAUUAUUAAUAUACCGAUUUUAUGACAUACAAAUAGUUUAUAAUUUUAUAAGUAAAUUAAAAUAUAGCAAUACAUUAUUUAUCUCGUGAGAGAAAUUUAAUGCUUAAAGAAGCAUAAACCAAAAUGCGAGGGAAAUUAUUAAAGUAAAGUGGUUAUAGUUACACACAUUGACAUUUAUUGUUCCUGCACUUUGUAGUUUUAGCGCCACACAUUUUUCUUGGACAAUGGCCGGUAUGUUUGCAACCGUUUUUCACUGUCAAUUCAAAUAACAAUAAAGGAAUGUUGUUAAAGGAAUAUUGUGUCUAACAUACAGAAAAUGAGAAAAGAAUUUCAAGAGUUACUUACUUCCACUGGUUCCCAUGAGAAAUAGAGAAAGAAACAUUAUCAAAGCAUAAACAUAGUUGAAAAUUUUAGCCAUAUUUUUCUUAAUGUAUAUCCUUUUUUGUUUACACUUUGAAUGUAUAUCUAAAAUGUAAAGUUUUGUUUAACCAUUUUAUAAGUAAAAUUUAAUUCUUUGGUAACAUCAAUUAAAUAAUCUUCCUUCAAUUAAAAUCAAUUAAAUAGUUUGUUUAUCUUUUAUGAAUUGUAAGAAAGCAUUUACUAAAUUGAAGUUAUUGAUAAAUGUCUCUAAUGUAGAUCAGUGUGACAUUUGUCCUUUAGCCCACUAAAUUGAUCAGUUAAACAUAAUAAAGAUCUUAAAUCAACCUUUUGAUGCUCGUCAAAGAUUCUUUGUUUUUUUAAGGGACAAAAUCCCAAAAUUAAAGAGAAAUAAUAGUGAUGAAGGUAACUGUUUUUUAGCUUUGAUAAUUAUGCAUUUAAGAGGUGAGAAAACAUUUAUUUCUAGAUUAAAAUUACAAUAUGAUGAUUUCUUCGGUUUAGAAAAUGAUCAGAUCGUAAAUUAAUACAUAUCAAAUGUAAAAAUUACAUGAUUUGUUUUAUUGUUGAUGUCGACCCUCAGAUUCCUCAGAGAAAAAGGCUAAAGUCAUUGAGACUUUGGUCGGGAGUUAAAUAAAUUAUGUCUAAGAAUUGUUUCAAUCGGGAAUCGAACCUGAAUUGUCACGAACAAUUCAUCAUAGGGACGCUAUUUAACCAUUAGAGUCAAAUCACUUGGUUGACAAUUGCAUGAGUUAAUCAAAGUGUUAAAUAAGUUUUUGGUCUGUAAAAAUACAUUGUUUUAUGUUUUUAACUCCUUUAAACAAUGAUCCCUGCAAUGUUUUCUGCAAGCAAAUUUAGGUCUCGCUUUCCUUAAUGUCCCAAUUUUUGUAAUAAGAUUAGAAACUUUUUCAUUUCAAUUGAGAGAUGACAUUUAUAUCUUAUCUUGAAAAAUUCGAAUGAAAUAAAUUAAAAUUACUUGCAUUUGAAGAAACGCUUACAAAAUAUUUUGAUUAUGCUAAUGUGUACAAAUUACGAACAAUAAUUUUUUAGAGAUUUUAAUUUUAAUUAAAAUUACAAGUGUAGAUCCCAUAAAAUUUAUACGUAUAUAUAUUUUCACUUUCAUAUUGUAACAAACUAUACAUAUCUUUUUCAAUAUAUUUUGCACUUUCAUAUUUAACAAACGAUACAUAUCUUUUUCAAUGAUACCAACAAUAUAACAAAUAUAAUAUAAAUUCUUAUCUUUUUUAAUGACACCAACAAUAAAACAUUCUUAUAACCAAAUAUUUUAAACAUUUUUUUAUUUAUUAUGUUAAUUCAUAAUAAAUUCAAAGCUUCAUACAAUAUUUUGCCAAACAACUUUUAACUUAAAAAUAGCUUUAAAACUAAAAAAAAUUUAAAGUAACUAAACAACUUUAACUUCUUUCUUAAAACCCUUAAUUUUAACUUUAUUUUAAAGUAGCUUUUAAACUGUAAAAAAGUCAGACCAAACGAUUCUAAAGUAAAACAAUAUAGCGAGACAUAAAUUGAAACAUGAUAUAUAUACUUUUCAGUACAUAAAUGAGAGCCAAAAAUAUAAUUUAACCAAAAAAAAAAAUUUAACCAAAAUUUUGAUCACUAUAAAUCUACCAUCUUUCGUUUUUGAUUCCGUUAUAUACGCAACCUUUAAAAAUGAGGAUGAGUGCUUCCUUAAAAAAAAAAAAAAAAAAACAGAGAGAGAAUGGGUGCUCAAAAUAACCGCUGAACUCAAACUAAUCAAAAUUAUUUGAACCUAUAUUUCAAGUAUAGUAAUAGAAUGAACAAAAUAAUAAAUAAAAAGAAUUCCUUCAAAAAAAAUAAAAAGAAUAUUUCAGUGGAGUAAAAUAUAAAUUGAUAAAAAAAAUAAUAAAAAAAAAAGACUAUUUUUCGGAAGAAAAAUCAUAGGAAAGAGGUUUAUCUAAAAGAUCUUUUUCCUAUUUUUAUUAUUACCAUUCGUUGAGAAUGGUUUUUCUUUUAUUUAUACUUACUUGGUACAUAUUUUGGGGUGGGUUUGAUAAUCCCUUUGAUUAUUAUUAAAACUUUUCAAAAUUUCUUUUGAUUUUUUAUUUAAGAUUAUUUUAUUAAGUAGAUUAUCGUGAGCCGCACAUACUUUAUCGCAGGCUAAACUAAAAAAAGAAAUAAUAUUUUGAUAACCAAUCAAUGAUACUCUUCUAUAGAUUCACCUAUAUAAGCCGCAACUAAGGUAGCAAAAAUAAGAGCUUGAAUACCGCUUGUAAAUAAUCCCAUAAACAUAACCGGUAUAGGAACUAUUAAAAGUACUAACAAAACAAGAAGAAUAACUACUAAUUCAUCAACUAAUAUAUUUUUGAAAAGUCGAAAACUAAGUGAUAAGGAUUUUGUGAAAUCUUCUAAGAUGUUAAUCGUUAAAAGGAUUGGAGUUAGUUGGAUGUAUUUACCAAAAUAAGUCAAUCCUUUUAUUGAAAUACCAUGAUAGAAAUAGGCUAGUGACAUAAGUAAAGCUGAUGCCAAGAGUAGUAUUUAUAUCAUUUGUGGGUUCAGAUAAUUCUCCAUGAGAUAACUUUAUAAUUUUCCAAGACAAAAGAGCCCCUGACAAAUUCCAAAAAAAAAAAAAAAAAAAGGGUUCCAAUAAAUGGAACCCACUGACCAUAUUCUUCUCCAAUCUGAUUUUUAAAUAUGCACAAUUAUAAGUCUAAUUGAUAGUUAUUAUUCAACAUAAAAUUAUCUAUUAGAUGCAAAGUAUUUCAAAAUUGAUCAAAGCUUCUCAACAUGAUUUAAUGUGUUGGCAUUCUUCAAACAACGACUCUAUUAUCUCCUAUAUAAGUCCCGAGAAAUUUGAAGAACUUAAGAGACUUUACAUAAUUUUAUUAGGGCCAAAACUCUAUCAAAUUAUAUAGCACGCAAACACUUAAAAAAGUUCUUACAAACUUUCACAUCUUAGAUAUUCUUAAAUGUCAGAAUUCAUUUGAGCUUAGAGUUAGUUUACCACUCUCUGAGUACAAAGUGUAAACAAUCAAAAUUUAUUUGUAAACUCUAAUUUUGGAAGUCCUCUUGUGUGAGGCAAGGAAAUCUUAGACAUGUGUGUGUCGAAGUAAUUGUCAUAUUGUGUGAUUAUGGUGAAAAAUCCCUUGGAAUGCAAGGGGACCUGACAAACCUCAUAUUGUGCGGUGAACCGUGAUAAUUUCUUGUGUUAUCUCUCUCUCUCUGAUUAUCUUUCUUGCUCUGUUCUGUGUAAACUUAGAAAACAAUUUUCAGAAAAGCUAACACAAUUCAAUCAUCUCUUCUUGUAUUUUUCUCACCUUCAGUUGGUACCAGAGCGUCUGGUAUGUUGAUUUAACACUUAAUCAUGUAACAUAUAUUGCAACCAUGUUCUCAAUGUUUCAAACUCUUGUCUUUGAUAUGCAAGUUUUGAAUAAGAGUUGUACUACGAUAAAAUGACUGUCAUUCAAGAAGCAAUAGACUUGAACAAACUUGGUUGGAGACUCUGAUAAGCUCUCUGAAGAGUCGUGAGAUGCAGCUAUUAGGGGAUGAUUCAUCCAAACAAUAUAGUUAUAUUGCUCUCAAGUCAAAGGACAAAUAUAUCACAACAUUUCAAGUUGUAGAGUCUGAAUAAGACAAUCUAGGAGAAGAUUCCGUAGAUGGUUCUAAUGAAGAUGAAAUGACAUUCUUUAUCAAGAGACUCUAACAUCUGAACAAGAAAAACAAGUUUUCUGAUAGAAACAAUGAUGCCAGAGGAUUUAAUUCCAAAUAUAAAAAAUAUGAAUCGAAAGUCUGCUUCAACUGCAAGAAGUCUGAACACACUUAACAUAAAGGUGGUUUGUUUUUUAAGGGAAAAUUAUGUGGUGAUGUUGUUGUAUUUCGAUAUUGUACUUGUUGAUGAAAUUUAAAGUAUAUGUUUAUACAGCUUAAUCAUUUUUUUAGAAUAUUAAUAUCACACAGUUAGCCUUAAAUGCAAUUUUCAUGUGAGAAUAACAAUGUUAGCUAAAAUCCAUUUAUCGAUAACGUAGAUUUAGUUUUUUAAAAAAAAUAACGUAGAUUUAGCUAUAUCCACGUAGAUUUAGAAAUACAUACUAUUAUUAGUGCAACAGAAAAAAAUACAAUUAUUAGGAUAUAUUGGAAUUAUUAAUUAAAGUGGCUAAUUAUAUCGAUUUUUAAACUUAGAAUUAAGGUAAAAUACACUUAUGAUAUUUAAACAUAGAAUUAAGGCUAAAAUACACUUCUUCUCCCCCGCCCCCAAUUUUUCAAAACAAUCGAUUUUUGCCCUUUGUUUACACUUGUUUUUGAUAAACAACGAGUUUGGCUUUGAUUAUUACAAGCAGGACCAAAUCAGAGAUUCUAGGACAUAGUGUGUUGUUUCGUUGAGGGAAAAGGCACGAAAGGAAGCACUACCGUCGCGUGGAGACGUCUUUUCGACUGGAAAAAAACAUAAAGAAAAAGGAAAAAACUAAAGGCAAAAAGCACCUAAAAGAAACAUUUUUGUUGAUGUUGAGAGAUGGCUAGUUAUAAUUGUGUGGUGAAGUUGUUGUUUUUAAUACUAUACUAGUUAAAUAAAUUUAAAGGUAAGAGAAACAUUUUUUUAAAGGAAAAAGAAAGUGCAAAAGCAUUGAUUAAAUGACAAAAAUGAUAUUCCAAUUGUGUUGGCACCUCAUAACUGUCUCCUAUGGUUUACAACACUCUAAAAUUAUUAUUAAUAAACUAGGGUUAAGACAGGUACGUACUAACAUGUUCAUGUUUUUGUUUUCUAUUGCACUUAAAUUUUAUAAAUAUCAUAAUUAUAUAAAGAUUAGUUUAUAUUGUUUCUAGUAUGGUGAAAUUUUUCCUAUUAUAACCGGAUUUAAUUGAUUCUUUUAAUUAAAUAUUUAAAUAAUAAUAUACAAAAUAUAAUAUUGGAAAUAGAAAAAUUUAAAUAAAGGAUAUAAUUGCAAGAUAAAUAUUCAUCUCAAAAUCAUGUAUCCCUUGUGUGUAGAUGAUUAUAUGUUUUUAUUAUAAUGAGAUUUAUUUGAUUUUUUAAUUAAAUAUUUAAGUAAUAGUAUAAAGAAUAUAAAAUUGUUAUUAGAAUAGUUUAAAUGAAAGAUAAAAUUUUAAAAUAAAUAUCCAACGCAUGAUAAUACAUAUCUUUAUAGGUAUAGGUUCUAUAAAUGAAUAAUUACAAAAUUCAGGAGAUUAGACCAACACUCAAGAAAAAAGAACCAAAGACUUUCAACAUCUGCCUCAUUAAAAACCUUCUUAAAAUAGCCCUAUGACAUAAAAUGUCUUUGGUAAAAAAAUAAAAGUGUAGAGCAACUAACCAACACAAAGACAAGAUAAACAACAUAAAUCAAAGUCCAAGGAAAAUUAUUAAUAUACCGAUUUUAUGACAUACAAAUAGUUUAUAAUUUUAUAAGUAAAUUAAAAUAUAGCAAUACAUUAUUUAUCUCGUGAGAGAAAUUUAAUGCUUAAAGAAGCAUAAACCAAAGUGCGAGGGAAAUUAUUUUAUAGUUGCACACAUUGACAUUUAUUGUUCCUGCACUUUGUAGUUUUAGCGCCACACAUUUUUCUUGGACAAUGGCCGGUAUGUUUGCAACCGUAUUUCACUGUCAAUUCAAAUAACAAUAAAGGAAUGUUGUUAAAGGAAUAUUGUGUCUAACAUACAGAAAAUGAGAAAAGAAUUUCAAGAGUUACUUACUUCCACUGGUUCCCAUGAGAAAUAGAGAAAGAAACAUUAUCAAAGCAUAAAC